Molecule: long non-coding RNA, 456 nt
Filed under: Eucalyptus grandis
Lineage: Eukaryota; Viridiplantae; Streptophyta; Magnoliopsida; Myrtales; Myrtaceae
Description: long non-coding RNA (EGRA_LNC004141)
Source: RNAcentral
UAUAAUCUGGAUCCUUGUGAUUUAUUGAGUUGAGUGAUGCAUUUCAAUUGCUGGAUGUAUCGAUUCUAUAUAUAAUGUAUGUGAAUUGUACUGACUUGCAGGUGGAAUCUGAGGCCAAGGUAAGUCAUUUGCCCUGUGCGUGUUUAGGCAGCCUAUAGUAUAAUGGUUUACUAAUCGGGCCUUAGUGGGGUAGAACUCGCUGAGACGUAGUCUCAUCCCAGUUUGGGGAAAACAUUUCAGGACUCCGUUGAGGAACUGAGGAGAAGGAGUCUGAGAAGGAGAACUGGAAGGCGAACUUGAGGAAAAGGAUUUUUGGAAGAAGAAGAUAAUUCCGAAGGGGGUCUUGAGUACGACCCGGAUGGAUUGAGAUUCCAUCUUCUUUUGUGAACUUCAAUUGAUGUGAAUAGAGUUAAGAGUAAAAAGUUGUGAAGUGCUCUGUUUGUGUUUUGUAUAAAA